Molecule: small RNA, 28 nt
Filed under: Bombyx mori (domestic silkworm)
Lineage: Eukaryota; Metazoa; Arthropoda; Insecta; Lepidoptera; Bombycidae
Description: ovarian small RNA-21528
Source: RNAcentral
UACUGGCGCUUUAUACUACGGUUUGAGU